RNAcentral lists this ribosomal RNA (253 nucleotides) under uncultured bacterium. Its description in RNAcentral is "partial 16S ribosomal RNA". It matches the Rfam family "Bacterial small subunit ribosomal RNA", at positions 524 to 776 of the family's 1533-position model. The record is from RNAcentral.
UACGGGGGGAGCAAGCGUUGUUCGGAUUUACUGGGCGUAAAGGGCGCGUAGGCGGCUAGAUGUGUCAAAGGUGAAAUCCCUCGGCUCAACUGAGGAACUGCCUUUGAAACUGUCUGGCUUGAGGCCGGGAGAGGGUAGCGGAAUUCCCAGUGUAGCGGUGAAAUGCGUAGAUAUUGGGAGGAACACCAGUGGCGAAGGCGGCUACCUGGACCGGUUCUGACGCUGAGGCGCGAAAGCGUGGGGAGCAAACAGG